UUUUUAGUAUAAAUAUGUUCCAUAUAAUAUUUGGAACACAUUUCCACUAAAG
RNAcentral lists this microRNA precursor (52 nucleotides) under Marmota monax (woodchuck). Lineage: Eukaryota; Metazoa; Chordata; Mammalia; Rodentia; Sciuridae. The record is from RNAcentral.